RNAcentral lists this ribosomal RNA (429 nucleotides) under Pseudomonadota bacterium. RNAcentral describes it as "Proteobacteria bacterium partial 16S ribosomal RNA". It matches the Rfam family "Bacterial small subunit ribosomal RNA", at positions 355 to 776 of the family's 1533-position model. Lineage: Bacteria; Pseudomonadati; Pseudomonadota. The record is from RNAcentral.
UGGGGAAUAUUGGACAAUGGGCGAAAGCCUGAUCCAGCCAUGCCGCGUGUGUGAAGAAGGUCUUCGGAUUGUAAAGCACUUUAAGUUGGGAGGAAGGGCAGUAAGCGAAUACCUUGCUGUUUUGACGUUACCGACAGAAUAAGCACCGGCUAACUCUGUGCCAGCAGCCGCGGUAAUACAGAGGGUGCAAGCGUUAAUCGGAAUUACUGGGCGUAAAGCGCGCGUAGGUGGUUCGUUAAGUUGAAUGUGAAAGCCCCGGGCUCAACCUGGGAACUGCAUCCAAAACAGGCGAGCUAAAGUAGGGCAGAGGGUGGUGGAAUUUCCUGUGUAGCGGUGAAAUGCGUAGAUAUAGGAAGGAACACCAGUGGCGAAGGCGACCACCUGGGCUCAUACUGACACUGAGGUGCGAAAGCGUGGGGAGCAAACAGG